UCAAUGGCCACUUUCUUAAUAAAAACUUUUCAUAACCUUUAGCUAUUAGGUUUGAGUUAUCCUUGAGGUAGAUGUAAUACUCGCCUAUAUCCUUAGUGAUGGACAAUGAGUCUUCCAUGCUUAUUAUAAGGUUAACCCCUUACUAGCGUGUUGAAGUUAUCCUCACAUGGUGGAUUUGUGGUUUUAGGUUGAGUUUUCUCCCUUGGAUAACAAAAGACCUUGAGGCUUUUGGACCAAUCAAUUCACCAACUCAUUUUGAAAUUUUUACCCCGAACUACGAGGUUUUGAUCCUAAUCUUUUUAAGAUGGUACGUAGGCAAUGGGUUUAUCCAUCCAAAC
RNAcentral lists this long non-coding RNA (338 nucleotides) under Lathyrus oleraceus (garden pea). Its description in RNAcentral is "Pisum sativum (pea) long non-coding RNA (PSAT_LNC021114)". Lineage: Eukaryota; Viridiplantae; Streptophyta; Magnoliopsida; Fabales; Fabaceae. The record is from RNAcentral.